UGCAUUGAAGCAAUCUUUAUGGGACUAGACC
RNAcentral lists this non-coding RNA (31 nucleotides) under Rattus norvegicus (Norway rat). Lineage: Eukaryota; Metazoa; Chordata; Mammalia; Rodentia; Muridae. The record is from RNAcentral.